This 253-nucleotide ribosomal RNA is filed under the name uncultured bacterium. RNAcentral describes it as "partial 16S ribosomal RNA". It matches the Rfam family "Bacterial small subunit ribosomal RNA", at positions 524 to 776 of the family's 1533-position model. The record is from RNAcentral.
UACGUAGGGUGCGAGCGUUAAUCGGAAUUACUGGGCGUAAAGCGUGCGCAGGCGGUUCGUUGUGUCGGCGGUGAAAGCCCCGGGCUUAACCUGGGAAUGGCCGUUGAAACUGGCGAACUGGAGUGUGGCAGAGGGGGGUGGAAUUCCGGGUGUAGUGGUGAAAUGCGUAGAGAUCCGGAGGAACACCAGUGGCGAAGGCGGCUCGCUGGGCUCUACCUGACGCUGAGGCGCGAAAGCGUGGGGAGCGAACCGG